CCGCCAGAGAACUACAAGUGAAAAACUUGAAACUCAAAGGACUUGACGGUGUUCCAUAUCGACCUAGAGGAGCCUGUCCUAUAAUCGAUACUCCCCGCUCCACCCAACCCUAACUGGCAUCUCAUCAGCCUAUAUACCGCCGUCGAUCAGCCUACCCUAUGAAGGCUCAACAGUAGACACAAUAGUCUUAUCACUAAUACGUCAGGUCAAGGUGUAGCAAAUGUUAAGGAAGAGAUUGGCUACAUUUUUUAUUUUAAAAAAUACGAAAAAUACUAUGAAACAAUAUAUGAAGGUGAAUUUAGUAGUAAAAUAAACAAGAGUGUUUAUUUUAAC
This 333-nucleotide ribosomal RNA is filed under the name Iranolacerta brandtii. Its description in RNAcentral is "partial 12S ribosomal RNA". It matches the Rfam family "Bacterial small subunit ribosomal RNA", at positions 869 to 1367 of the family's 1533-position model. Lineage: Eukaryota; Metazoa; Chordata; Lepidosauria; Squamata; Lacertidae. The record is from RNAcentral.